UAUAACUUAUACCGACAAAUUAUAAAAUAAUAAUGUUAUUUACAUUCUCAAACAGUCAAAUAAUUAUGACACAUUGGAUUGAAACCUGACAAUCCAAUAUAUAAUAUUAUUAAUAGUGUUUUUACGUAAUAUAAUUUGCGUUGAAAAAAACCAAAUCUACUCAAAAAUAGAAAACAAUAUUGGUAUGUCAAAAAAAAAUUAUAUUAAUAAGAGUAGAAUUCGACAAGCUAAACCAAAGCUAGCUAACAGUAGCUAACCAAUAGCGUAAUUCGAGUUAUUAGCGA
This is a non-coding RNA of Cinara cedri, 284 nucleotides long. Lineage: Eukaryota; Metazoa; Arthropoda; Insecta; Hemiptera; Aphididae. The record is from the annotation of a GenBank genome assembly.